AUGUGCUGUGGCUCUCAGCUUGCAUGUAUGUGCUGACUCCAGCUUUAUAAGUGCAUACAGAAAGAUACACGGAGCCUGCACAACUGACAUUGUGGAUCAUCUGCAGACUACUAACUACUCACAGAGGACCAAAAGCUCCUGUCACCACCACAGGAACCCCCAAGGUAUAACUGCGUAUCUUUCCAGUGAUGACCGUUGACGUGUCAUUUGUUCAUUGCAGUGACCCUGCAGUGGGGAAGCAAGUAUGAGUGGUGGGAGCUUACUGUGACUACAGAGAAGGAGAAAGGUGGAAGAGGCCAGUGUUUUUAAUAACGCCAGAAAGUGCCAAAGAAGCGCAGGACUGACUCGCACUGAAUGACUUACUAUGAGAGAGUACUUACUGCCUUACAUACUUAACACAUUGCCAUUUGGGAGGUCUGUGAACAUGAAACUAAUUCUGAUGCAUAACCUGAUCAUCUGCCUAGAUUAUUGAAGCCCAUAUAUAUAAUGUGGAUAAAAAUUAAAACUGAGAAACGAAAAGGUCAGCAAAUGCACAGAGAGAAGAUUCACCAAAUACCUACUUUAGAAAAAAUUACGGACCCUGAAUGUCCAGCUGAUGAGUGAUGUCUCAUUACAUGUCUCAUUGAUAAAGAUGUGUCUGGGUGAAAAAGAGUUGGGCAGGACUCAUGGUAGAGGAAAUACUGUAUAGCAAAGAUUAGUGGAUAUGGAGAGAGAGCAACAGAAACUAUCCAAAUAAAAAUA
Long non-coding RNA from Octodon degus (degu), 741 nucleotides. RefSeq lists it as uncharacterized. The record is from RefSeq and is a predicted model, not a curated record. The transcript has 4 exons. Lineage: Eukaryota; Metazoa; Chordata; Mammalia; Rodentia; Octodontidae.